CCUACGGGUUGCAGCAGUGGGGAAUAUUGCACAAUGGGCGCAAGCCUGAUGCAGCCAUGCCGCGUGUAUGAAGAAGGCCUUAGGGUUGUAAAGUACUUUCAGUUGGGAGGAAGGCGUUGAUGCUAAUAUCAUCAACGAUUGACGUUACCAACAGAAGAAGCACCGGCUAACUCCGUGCCAGCAGCCGCGGUAAUACGGAGGGUGCAAGCGUUAAUCGGAAUUACUGGGCGUAAAGCGCACGCAGGCGGUUGAUUAAGUUAGAUGUGAAAUCCCCGGGCUCAACCUGGGAACUGCAUUCGAAACUGGCAGGCUAGAGUCUUGUAGAGGGGGGUAGAAUUCCAGGUGUAGCGGUGAAAUGCGUAGAGAUCUGGAGGAAUACCGGUGGCGAAGGCGGCCCCCUGGACAAAGACUGACGCUCAGGUGCGAAAGCGUGGGGAGCAAACAGGAUUAGAUACCCCAGUAGUC
This 465-nucleotide ribosomal RNA is filed under the name uncultured bacterium. RNAcentral describes it as "bacterial SSU rRNA". It matches the Rfam family "Bacterial small subunit ribosomal RNA", at positions 338 to 795 of the family's 1533-position model. The record is from RNAcentral.